CCUACGGGUGGCUGCAGUGGGGAAUAUUGCACAAUGGGGGAAACCCUGAUGCAGCAACGCCGCGUGAGUGAAGAAGUAUUUCGGUAUGUAAAGCUCUAUCAGCAGGGAAGAAGAAAGACGGUACCUGACUAAGAAGCCCCGGCUAACUACGUGCCAGCAGCCGCGGUAAUACGUAGGGGGCAAGCGUUAUCCGGAUUUACUGGGUGUAAAGGGGGCGCAGACGGCAGCGCAAGCCAGGAGUGAAAGCCCGGGGCCCAACCCCGGGACUGCUCUUGGAACUGCGCGGCUGGAGUGCAGGAGGGGCAGGCGGAAUGCCUGGUGUAGCGGUGAAAUGCGUAGAUAUCAGGAGGAACACCGGUGGCGAAGGCGGCCUGCUGGACUGCGACUGACGUUGAGGCCCGAAAGCGUGGGGAGCAAACAGGAUUAGAUACCCGGGUAGUC
RNAcentral lists this ribosomal RNA (441 nucleotides) under uncultured bacterium. RNAcentral's name for it is "partial 16S ribosomal RNA". It matches the Rfam family "Bacterial small subunit ribosomal RNA", at positions 338 to 795 of the family's 1533-position model. The record is from RNAcentral.